UUUACAUCUUUUUGUGGUAGUUUUGCAUCUAGUUUUGGUCUUCUUACAUGUUGUUUUGUUUCAUUUUGGUGUUUUUACAUCUUUUUGUGGGUGUUUUCCAUCCAAUUUUGUAUGGAAAUUUAAUGUCUUUUGGAGGUUUAUUGCUUAAUAAUUUGGCUGUUUUACAUCCUUUAUGUCACAUUUUGGUAGUUUUACAUGUUUGUGGUAGUUAUGCAUCACAUUGUGGUCGUUUUAUGUCACCUGGGUCACAUUUUGAUCAUUUUUACAGAAGAGAAUCAUCUGUAAAACAUUUCUCAGGAGAUCGGUGGCAGUAAGAUGAGUGAAUGUCAAGAGACAAACAGGAGAGAGAACGAACACUAAGUAUUCCUGAUUUAAAGCAGAGUUUUGGGUAAUUUUAGAAUUUAUUGGCCAGAUUUCAUUAAUCUGUGCAGAUUUCUGUGAAUGUGAUGUUAUGUUUACUUUUAUUUCGAGGUGAAACCGAUGGUGUAAAAUGCUGGAAAAAGGCUUUGUGUGAUUUUCAAUGAGGCAAAUCCGAAGACGCCUCUGAUUCCAAGCAGCUGCUGAAAGACGCUGAUCAGCAGAAGAAGCUCAAAGUUCAGAUGCAUAAAGUCAGACGAGUCUCUUGAGCUGCUUCAGUCUCGACCAGCAGGAAUGUGGUCAGAAGUCGGAGUCGUCUGUGGCCGAGUUAUCGGCGGCGAGGAUUCCUGUUGGCUCUGGCGGCGGCUCGUGUCCAUCCUGCUGCUGCUGCUGCUGCUGCUCCCUCUUCUUCUUCUUGUUGUGGUUCUUGACAUGCACGCUCAACCCCCUCUCAGUCAUUUCGUAGAUCUGACACUUGGCGCAGUAGUAUGGCGACACCCCGACGUGCCGGAACUGGUCUGCGAGGUACGAUGCCAGCGUCUUGAAGCCCUUGCUGCAGACGUGGCAGCGCGGGACGACGCCCGGGUGCUCCUUCUCCAGGUGCUUCCUCAGACCCCACCUGGAGCCACUGAACGCCUCCAGACCGCCGGCCGGGCACACGUGGCAAGUGAAGACGGCGUCCUGGUUGGCGUGGCGACGGGUGUGGGCGUCCAGCUCCACCUGCGUGCGGACCGACUGCUGGCAGGACGUGCAGAAGAACGUCUUCUUGCCCUCCAUGUGGUGCGUCUGCUUCAGGUGCACGGCGAGGCCCGACGCCCUCUUGAAGGUCUUGCCGGGCGGCGGACACAUGGUGCACACCAGCUGCCUCUGCCCCGAGUUCAUGACAUCGCUGUAGUCCUCACCCAGCUCCAGGACGCUCUUGUUGCUUACCAGCUCCUCCCUCCUCGCCUCCUCCAGCUUCCUCUUCUGCUCUAGCCUCGGCCUCAUCAGUCUGGACGGUGGCGGAUCUGCGCUCCUCUCUCGGACCACCGGCCGCUUCACAACCGGCUUCUUGGCGGGAAGCGAGCGGUCGACGGACACGGUGAACUGGUAGCUCUCUCCCUCCUCUUCGGGGUUGGAGUACUCGAUGACGUAGACGCCCUCCUCCUCCUCCUCUACCACCUCCUCCUCGGCGGGCAGCGAAUACUCCAUCUCGUAGUACUCGGUCACGUUGCUCCUCGCCUUCCCGCCCAUGUGCGACUGCUCCCCUGCGAUGUGCGUGUCGUCGAUCCUCACCACGGUGAUCUGGUCCAUGCUGCCGGCAGCCUCCCAGUUUCCGUUUCCGGCCAUGACCGAGGACGACGACGCUUUUCCUGCAGCUCCACCUCGAAGAUGUUCAGAAGAUGUCUGGAACAAGAAAAUAAAUAUAAAUGCAUGUUUUAUUACAGAAAAAAACACACAAAAAUACCCUUUAACCCUUUUGCUGUAUUCAUUGAUUGGCACCAAAAAAUAUUUUUAAAAAAAUCUAAUAAAAAAAAUCCAAAAAUUCAGCAAAAAAAUCCCCCAAAUUUCUGAAAAUUUGCAAAACCUUCAGGAAGAAAAUUCCAAUAAUUCCUUGAAAGUUUCCCUUAAAAGUUUCAUUUGAAAAAAAUCCCUCCAAUUUGGCAAGAAAAUUCUUGUAAAUAUUUUCAAAAAAUGAGUAAAAAUCUUCCAAAAAAAUCCUAAAAAUAUCUAAAGUGAUUCCAUAUAUAUCAGUAAAACUUCUAUUUUCUUUAAGAACAUUCACAAUUUGCGAGAAAAAUAUGUAUAUUAAGGACAACUGAUAUUUUACAGACUUUCCUGUUUCCCAAAUAACAGAUACGAGUCCAAACACAAAAAAAGACUUAAAAAAACAAAAAAUAUUUGUUCUCUGACUGUAAAUUCCUCCUGUUUUUAUUGUAUUUAAAACUAUCAAAACACACAGGCUGCAAUUUAGCAUCAACAAUACGCAGCCUGUGUGACGCAGGAUUUAAACUGUCAACAGUUUGUUUGUUUGAUAAUUUAUCUAAAGGUGAUUCCUACUUAAAGAUGUAAACAAACAGCAGAUGUGUCCAUUAAAUGUAAAUUUUAAGGUUACUUCAUUUGCAUAUUGUUUGACUCACUGACUGUAAUACAUGUUUUAGCCUUAACUGCAGGUUCUGUAAUCUAAUUAGUUAUUUAAAUUCAUUUCAUUUAUGCAGGUGCUUCUGUUUUUUUUAAUGUACAGUUACUAAAACCUUCAAAUUUCUUCAUUAUUGUCAAUAUUGUUGUUUUUGCACAUAUAUAGGUCAAGUAUUCUCUCUCAUUUUUGGAAUAAACUGAUGUAUUUAAUAAUUUAUCGAGGUUUAUUUUUCUUUAAU
Amphiprion ocellaris (clown anemonefish) is the source of this 2714-nucleotide long non-coding RNA. Lineage: Eukaryota; Metazoa; Chordata; Actinopteri; Pomacentridae. The record is from Ensembl.